UCAGACAGUACAUCGUAUUUUAAAAAGUACAGCAGUUCAAAAUGUAAACAAACCGUUUGUUUACAUUACGGACUUGACUUCCACUUUAAGUUUUCUUAUUUUGACAUACAGUAAAACCCCACAUAAAAGAACCAGUGGGUUAAGAACCACCAGCCUGACAUUUGGGCAAUUAAGCAUCCAAAAUACAAGUUUUUAGAAGUUUUUUAAGUUUAGAUAUAUGUAACGAGAACCAUAUU
This is a non-coding RNA of Paramuricea clavata, 236 nucleotides long. The record is from the annotation of a GenBank genome assembly. NCBI's taxonomy places the organism in Eukaryota, Metazoa, Cnidaria, Anthozoa, Malacalcyonacea, Plexauridae.